UGGAUAGUUUUAGAGAACAACUGAACCGAGCAUGACCAUACGAGAGAUCUCUUAGAUUUUUACUCGAUCGUCAGUGAUCGUCUCGAUACUGUAGUUGUGUGACUGGUCCUUUGACUUGAGAUGGCACUAUUGCUCGUAGUGAGGUUGCUGAAGUUUGAUUGACAUAUAAACAUGGAUCUUAAUGAGCCCUUGGAUGUGCAUCAAAAUGAGAUUUAUUGAUCUUGAUAGAAAGGAGUAGUCCUAUG
RNAcentral lists this long non-coding RNA (245 nucleotides) under Elaeis guineensis (African oil palm). Its description in RNAcentral is "long non-coding RNA (EGUI_LNC025827)". The record is from RNAcentral. Lineage: Eukaryota; Viridiplantae; Streptophyta; Magnoliopsida; Arecales; Arecaceae.